GCGCGGAUAGCCAAGUGGUAAGGCAGAAGCCUGCAGAGCUUCCAUGCGGGGGUUCGAAUCCCUCUCCGCGCU
This 72-nucleotide transfer RNA is filed under the name Candidatus Pacearchaeota archaeon CG1_02_32_132. RNAcentral's name for it is "tRNA-Cys". It matches the Rfam family "tRNA". From Rfam's summary of the family: Transfer RNA (tRNA) molecules are approximately 80 nucleotides in length. The record is from RNAcentral. Lineage: Archaea; Nanobdellati.